ACGGAGGGAGCUAGCGUUGUUCGGAAUUACUGGGCGUAAAGCGCGCGUAGGCGGCUUUGUAAGUUAGAGGUGAAAGCCCGGGGCUCAACCCCGGAACUGCCUUUAAAACUGCAUCGCUGGAAUCCGGGAGAGGUGAGUGGAAUUCCGAGUGUAGAGGUGAAAUUCGUAGAUAUUCGGAAGAACACCAGUGGCGAAGGCGGCUCACUGGACAACACCUGACGCUGUGGCACGAAAGCCAGGGGAGCAAACGGGA
RNAcentral lists this ribosomal RNA (253 nucleotides) under uncultured prokaryote. RNAcentral describes it as "partial 16S ribosomal RNA". It matches the Rfam family "Bacterial small subunit ribosomal RNA", at positions 525 to 777 of the family's 1533-position model. The record is from RNAcentral.